GGAGUUAGCCGGUGCUUCUUCUGUGAGUGAUGUCCUUCCUGCCGGUUAUUGACCCGCAGGCCUUCUUCCUCACUGAAAGUGCUUUACAACCCGAAGGCCUUCUUCACACACGCGGCAUGGCUGGAUCAGGGUUGCCCCCAUUGUCCAAUAUUCCCCACUGCUGCCUCCCGUAGGAGUCUGGGCCGUGUCUCAGUCCCAGUGUGGCUGAUCAUCCUCUCAGACCAGCUACGGAUCGUCGCCUUGGUGAGCCGUUACCUCACCAACCAGCUAAUCCGACAUAGGCUCAUCCGAUAGCGCGAGGCCCGAAGGUCCCCCGCUUUCCCCCGUAGGGCGUAUGCGGUAUUAGCCUGGGUUUCCCCAGGUUAUCCCCCACUACCGGGCAGAUUCCUAUGCAUUACUCACCCGUCCGCCGCUCGCCACCAGGGAGCAAGCUCCCCGUGCUGCCGCUCGACUUGCAUGUGUUAGGCCUGCCGCCAGCGUUCAAUCUGAGCCAGAAUCAAACCUCUGA
RNAcentral lists this ribosomal RNA (508 nucleotides) under uncultured bacterium. Its description in RNAcentral is "partial 16S ribosomal RNA". The record is from RNAcentral.